CCAAUAGCGUAUAUUAAAGUUGUUGCAGUUAAAAAGCUCGUAGUUGAAUUUCGGGAUUGACGUGAUGGUCAUGCCUUAAGGGGUAUGAACUGUUACUGUUGAUUUCUCACCUUCUGGAGAAACUUGAUGUCCUUUAUUGGGUGUCUUGCGGAUCCAGGACCUUUACCUUGAAAAAAUUAGAGUGUUUAAAGCAGGCAUUUUUGCUCGAAUACAUUAGCAUGGAAUAAUAGAAUAGGACGGCAUGGUUCUAUUUUGUUGGUUUCUAGGAUCACCGUAAUGAUUAAUAGGGAUAGUUGGGGGCAUUAGUAUUCAAUUGUCUGAGGUGAAAUUCUUGGAUUUAUUGAAGACUAACUACUGCGAAAGCAUUUGCCAAGGAUGUUUUCAUUAAUCAAGAACGAAAGUUAGGGGAUCGAAGACGAUCAGAUACCGUCGUAGUCUUAACCAUAAACUAUGCCGACUAGGAAUCAGACGAUGUUAAUUUUUUAAUGACUCGUUUGGCACCUUACG
This 507-nucleotide ribosomal RNA is filed under the name uncultured Glomeromycotina. RNAcentral's name for it is "partial small subunit ribosomal RNA". It matches the Rfam family "Eukaryotic small subunit ribosomal RNA", at positions 591 to 1092 of the family's 1831-position model. The record is from RNAcentral. Lineage: Eukaryota; Fungi; Glomeromycota.